GUCCUACGGGAGGCAGCAGUGAGGAAUAUUGGUCAAUGGGCUUACGCCUGAACCAGCCAAGUCGCGUGAGGGAAGACUGCCCUAUGGGUUGUAAACCUCUUUUGUCAGGGAGCAAGGGACAGGUCGUGACCUGUUGUGAGAGUACCUGAAGAAAAAGCAUCGGCUAACUCCGUGCCAGCAGCCGCGGUAAUACGGAGGAUGCGAGCGUUAUCCGGAUUUAUUGGGUUUAAAGGGUGCGCAGGCGGAGGCACAAGUCAGCGGUAAAAUCGCGGGGCUCAACCCCGCUCCGCCGUUGAAACUGUGUC
RNAcentral lists this ribosomal RNA (305 nucleotides) under uncultured bacterium. Its description in RNAcentral is "bacterial SSU rRNA". It matches the Rfam family "Bacterial small subunit ribosomal RNA", at positions 335 to 639 of the family's 1533-position model. The record is from RNAcentral.